GAGAGGUGGAGGUUGGUGGAUGGCGGGGAGGGAGAUACAUGGCAUGGACGGUAAAGGCAGCAGGAAGGGCUGCACACAGUAGCUAGGAAUGGAGAAGAGCAGUGAGGACGACUGUGAAGAGGACGGUACAGUGGGGAGAGUAGGGGUAGCAUCUUUUGCAUGAAAAAAGGAUUCAUCUUCUUUGGCACCAAAAAGCUAUUGGAUCAUACA
This 210-nucleotide long non-coding RNA is filed under the name Elaeis guineensis (African oil palm). RNAcentral's name for it is "long non-coding RNA (EGUI_LNC027603)". Lineage: Eukaryota; Viridiplantae; Streptophyta; Magnoliopsida; Arecales; Arecaceae. The record is from RNAcentral.